Molecule: regulatory RNA element, 108 nt
Rfam family: TPP riboswitch aptamer (THI element)
About the family: Vitamin B(1) in its active form thiamin pyrophosphate (TPP) is an essential coenzyme that is synthesised by coupling of pyrimidine and thiazole moieties in bacteria. The previously detected thiamin-regulatory element, thi box was extended, resulting in a new, highly conserved RNA secondary structure, the THI element, which is widely distributed in eubacteria and also occurs in some archaea.
Source: Rfam
AUUAUGUGCUAGGGGUGCCUAAAUUUAGGCUGAGAAAUGAAUUUAUUCAUUAACCCUCAAAGACCUGAUCUGGAUAGUGCCAGCGUAGGAAAGCGUUUUUAUAAACAA